This 375-nucleotide ribosomal RNA is filed under the name uncultured bacterium. RNAcentral describes it as "bacterial SSU rRNA". It matches the Rfam family "Bacterial small subunit ribosomal RNA", at positions 97 to 507 of the family's 1533-position model. The record is from RNAcentral.
GGCAGACGGGUGAGUAACGCGUGGGAAUCUACCCUUUACUACGGAAUAACGCAUGGAAACGUGUGCUAAUACCGUAUGUGUCCUUCGGGAGAAAGAUUUAUCGGUAAAGGAUGAGCCCGCGUUGGAUUAGCUAGUUGGUGGGGUAAAGGCCUACCAAGGCGACGAUCCAUAGCUGGUCUGAGAGGAUGAUCAGCCACAUUGGGACUGAGACACGGCCCAAACUCCUACGGGAGGCAGCAGUGGGGAAUAUUGGACAAUGGGCGCAAGCCUGAUCCAGCCAUGCCGCGUGAGUGAUGAAGGCCCUAGGGUUGUAAAGCUCUUUCACCGGAGAAGAUAAUGACGGUAUCCGGAGAAGAAGCCCCGGCUAACUUCGUG